Non-coding RNA from Pantoea dispersa, 137 nucleotides. The record is from Rfam. NCBI's taxonomy places the organism in Bacteria, Pseudomonadati, Pseudomonadota, Gammaproteobacteria, Enterobacterales, Erwiniaceae.
AAUGACAACAGACUCCCAAGCCUUGCGUUCCUAAGUCGUGUGAUAUGGAUGCCUGGCCGCAGCCGCGAGCUGCCAGGGUGCAGAAAGAAAUGACUGCAUCUCCCGUACUUUGGAAAGGUGUUCAGGUGCCACAAUUU